Molecule: ribosomal RNA, 36 nt
Filed under: Achillea millefolium
Lineage: Eukaryota; Viridiplantae; Streptophyta; Magnoliopsida; Asterales; Asteraceae
Description: partial 28S ribosomal RNA
Source: RNAcentral
CGACCCCAGGUCAGGCGGGACUACCCGCUGAGUUUA